CUGGAAUAUUUAAAAAACAGACCGUUUACUGACCGCAAAGUAUCAUAUCAGUCCUUUAUAAUUUCAGAAUUUUAUGAAAAUUAUUUGUCUCGCCACGAAUCAAAAUUUCAAUGGGCAAAUGAUUUUAGCAGCAACCUUGUCAUCUCAGUAACGUCACUUCGGUCUCCAUGAACCAACGGCACCUGAGGAACUGGGAGACGCUUAGACGUAUUGACUGCGAUCAUCCCCUCUGACGGCUGUGGACACUGGAGGCAGCCGUUGCCGUCGCUUGACAGGGAGGACCCAGGCACUGAAGAUAAAACCAUUCCGGACACAGCCUGGAUGCUAGCAGACCUCGUUGUCCUGCUGGCAGGUUCGGAAUGGGGGGCCCCCACUUCGUGACCAGAGGGACUCGGUGCACCUGAGCCACGCUGUGCCCCUGGCCUGGCACUGACGUCACGGGCAGCUCGACUCUGACCUUCUGCGGAGGAGCCCAGGAGUACAGCCCCACGCCUCCGAAAUGCCAUGCUGAGGUCUUCCUGAAGGCUUUAAGCGGAAUGCCUGUUUCUGGCGGACAAAUGGUGCCUGUUUCCGGUGGAUAGGAUCCCAUUCUGAGCUUUGCAAAACCUGGGGAGAAAGAGAGGCGUU
Long non-coding RNA from Lepisosteus oculatus (spotted gar), 627 nucleotides. RefSeq lists it as uncharacterized. NCBI's taxonomy places the organism in Eukaryota, Metazoa, Chordata, Actinopteri, Semionotiformes, Lepisosteidae. The record is from RefSeq and is a predicted model, not a curated record.